Molecule: long non-coding RNA, 472 nt
Organism: Lolium rigidum
Lineage: Eukaryota; Viridiplantae; Streptophyta; Magnoliopsida; Poales; Poaceae
Exons: 3
Source: RefSeq, a predicted model, not a curated record
ACCUAGAGAAAGGCAAGCUAAAGGCAGGGGUGGUUCUUGCAGAUUUUUCUUCACGCCGCUCUGGUCGGUCCAUCGUAUCCCUCGCUAUCUGCGGCAUUUUUUUCCAGAUCUUGCAUAGGCGGUGGUACACCCCGAGUUGCUGCCGGUGUCAAUGAGGAGCUGUAACUCUUACCUACUGCUCCUGCUUCCGGCCAGCAAUCCAGGAGCCUCUGCUAGACUGGCGAGUGGGGCACCAGCCUUGGAGCCAGGGCAUGGCAAGGUCUGCACCGACCAAGUCAGCGCAGGAUAUUGUGGAGGACUACAUGGUUGUUACUAGCUAUGUAUGUGGAAAGGCAUCUUGGCUCCUGCGGUGUCGCUGCUGGCAACAUCUGUGAUUUAUAGUUGAAGUUGCUUGUAGUGUUGAGUGGUAGUCGAUCGUCCAUUUUCUGUAUUUUGGUUAGGUUGUAUUCUUGGUUAACUAAUCUGUGCUGUG